RNAcentral lists this unclassified non-coding RNA (433 nucleotides) under Hevea brasiliensis (rubber tree). The record is from RNAcentral. Lineage: Eukaryota; Viridiplantae; Streptophyta; Magnoliopsida; Malpighiales; Euphorbiaceae.
GUUUGUCUGAUUUUUGCUGUUAUAUGCUUCAUUUCCUCUUGUUCAGUCCUUUAGCUGUUAAAUGUUAAGUUGCAUUGUCUCUAUUUCGUUUAUUUCUGCUUGGUUCCCGAGAAAAUGAGGGAAAAUACUCUCAUAAACUGUUGAAUGGUAAUUAUGUAGCAUUUUCAUUGUGAAAAAUUGGAAAUAAUGCAAAAAUAGCUCGUUAUCAGGUUUUGUUCAGUGUAAUAGCUUCUCCUUGGUCCAAAAAAAAAUUGCAAAAUAAAAUAACAUAAAGGGGAAGUGAAGAUAUGACUUGAAUUGAACGUUGAUUUUUUCUUUUCUGCUUGAAUUUUCUUGGUAACCAAACAAAGAUUUAAAAAUUAUCUAAUUAUAAUAAUAUGGCUUAUUUUUCACAGCUUCUUGCUAAUUGGUUCAAAUUAAAGUCAUGACUGUG